RNAcentral lists this ribosomal RNA (468 nucleotides) under uncultured bacterium. RNAcentral's name for it is "partial 16S ribosomal RNA". It matches the Rfam family "Bacterial small subunit ribosomal RNA", at positions 28 to 507 of the family's 1533-position model. The record is from RNAcentral.
GACGAACGCUGGCGGCGUGCUUAACACAUGCAAGUCGAACGGAAAGGCCCUGCUUUUGUGGGGUGCUCGAGUGGCGAACGGGUGAGUAACACGCGAGUAACCUGCCCUUGACUUUGGGAUAACUUCAGGAAACUGGGGCUAAUACCGGAUAGGAGAUCCUGAUGCAUGGUGGGGGUUGGAAAGUUUCGGCGGUGGUGGAUGGAUUCGCGGCUUAUCAGCUUGUUGGUGGGGUAGUGGCUUACCAAGGCUUUGACGGGUAGCCGGCCUGAGAGGGUGACCGGCCUCCUUGGGCCUGCGAUACGGCCCAGUCUCCUACGGGAGGCAGCAGUCGGGAACCUUGCACAAUGGGCGGAAGCCUGAUGCAGCAACGCCGCGUGCGGGAUGACGGCCUUCGGGUUGUAAACCGCUUUCGCCUGUGACGAAGCGUGAGUGACGGUAAUGGGUAAAGAAGCACCGGCUAACUACGUG